UACGUAGGGUGCAAGCGUUAAUCGGAAUUACUGGGCGUAAAGCGUGCGCAGGCGGUUUGAAAAGUCAGCUGUGAAAGCCCCGGGCUCAACCUGGGAACUGCGGUUGAAACUCUCAAGCUAGAGUGCGUCAGAGGGGGGUGGAAUUCCACGUGUAGCAGUGAAAUGCGUAGAGAUGUGGAGGAACACCAAUGGCGAAGGCAGCCCCCUGGGAUGACACUGACGCUCAUGCACGAAAGCGUGGGGAGCAAACAGG
This 253-nucleotide ribosomal RNA is filed under the name uncultured bacterium. Its description in RNAcentral is "partial 16S ribosomal RNA". It matches the Rfam family "Bacterial small subunit ribosomal RNA", at positions 524 to 776 of the family's 1533-position model. The record is from RNAcentral.